Molecule: ribosomal RNA, 737 nt
Filed under: anaerobic methanogenic archaeon ET1-8
Lineage: Archaea
Description: bacterial SSU rRNA
Rfam family: Archaeal small subunit ribosomal RNA
Source: RNAcentral
GGAUCACCCCGGGAAACUGGGGCUAAUUCUCGAUAGGUGAAGAACUCUGGAAUGAGUCUUCGCCUAAAAGACGCUUGCGUUAUGCUCGUGGGCGUCGCCCAAGGAUGAGGCCGCGACCGAUCAGGUUGUUGGUGAGGUAAUGGCUCACCAAGCCUUUUACCGGUGCGGGCCGUGGGAGCGGGAGCCCGGAGAUGGGCACUGAGACAAGGGCCCAGGCCCUACGGGGCGCAGCAGUCGCGAAAACUUUGCAAUAAGCGAAAGCUUGACAGGGCUAUCCCGAGUGCCAUCCGCUGAGGAAGGCUUUUACCCAGUCUAGAACGCUGGGGGAAUAAGGAGAGGGCAAGUCUGGUGUCAGCCGCCGCGGUAAUACCAGCUCUCCGAGUGGUGUGGAUGUUUAUUGGGCCUAAAGCAUCCGUAGCUGGCUAAGUUAGUCCCUUGUUAAAUCCACCGAAUUAAUCGUUGGAUUGCGGGGGAUACUGCUUGGCUAGGGGACGAGAGAGGCAGACGGUAUUUCCGGGGUAGGGGUGAAAUCCUAUAAUCCCGGGAAGACCACCAGUGGCGAAGGCUGUCUGCUAGAACGCGCCCGACGGUGAGGGAUGAAAGCUGGGGGAGCGAACCGGAUUAAAUACCCGGGUAGUCCCAGCUGUAAACGAUGCAGGCUAGGUGUUUGGACGGCCACGUGCCGUUCUAGUGCCGCAGGGAAACUGUUAAGCUUGCCGCCUGGGGUACGACCGCGA